This 406-nucleotide ribosomal RNA is filed under the name uncultured bacterium. RNAcentral describes it as "partial 16S ribosomal RNA". It matches the Rfam family "Bacterial small subunit ribosomal RNA", at positions 30 to 526 of the family's 1533-position model. The record is from RNAcentral.
AUUGAACGCUGGCGGCAGGCCUAACACAUGCAAGUCGAACGAGUGGCGGACGGGUGAGUAAUUUCUGGGAAACUGCCUGAUGGAGGGGGAUACCUACUGGAAACGGUAGCUAAUACCGCAUACCAUCAGAUGUGCCCAGAUGGGAUUAGCUUGUUGGUGGGGUAACGGCUCACCAAGGCGACGAUCCCUAGCUGGUCUGAGAGGAUGACCAGCCACACUUGAACUGAGACAGGGUCCAGACUCCUACGGGAGGAAGCAGUGGGCAAUAUUGCACGAUGGGCGCAUGCAUGAUGCAGCCAGGCCGCGUGUAUGGAGAAGGCCUUCGGGUUGUAAAGUACUUUCAGCGGGAAGGCGUUACCCGCAGAAGAAGCACCGGCUAACCCCGUACGAGCAGCCGCGGUAAUAC